Molecule: long non-coding RNA, 602 nt
Filed under: Fukomys damarensis (Damara mole-rat)
Lineage: Eukaryota; Metazoa; Chordata; Mammalia; Rodentia; Bathyergidae
Description: lncRNA (ENSFDAG00000025962.1)
Source: RNAcentral
GGCGGAGGGAUCGUGGACAGGUGAAAAGUCCUGAUGUGCAGCCACAUAAAGGCCCCGGGUCCCCACUGUUCCGGUCAGGCUCCUAUGGAGCCUCAGUGGGAAGCGGACUGCCGGGCACGCGGUUCAGCUGCGCCGACAGCCAGUUGGGUAAACUACCAGGUAACGCAGGAGACACACGAGUAGCGUCUGCCCCUCCCUCUCGCUUCUCUUCGCUCCCCUCCUCCUGUCCCCAAGGAAUGAACUGGAACAGCCUGCCCACGUUUAGUGUCCUGCCACCACCCCGAGGCUGCCCCAGGACUGCUCUCUGCACUGCUCUGACAGGUGCAGCUCAGGCGUCAGCCACGGCACACCCCACUCCUGCCGUCAGCUGCCGGUGCCUCCUCUUUGAAGCAGAAGAGAGGACCACGCUAACAUGACUAAGGUGAGGCCCUGUACUAGCACCUCCAGCCUCCUCAAGCCUCUAGCUGUAAUGAACACAGCCAGCCCUCCAGAAGAUGCAAAUCUAUAGGGUACGAUAUUCAAUAGGAAAUAACAGACAUGCAAGAAAGCAAGGAAGUGUGGCCUGUAAUGAAAAUAGUAAACCCCUUUAAUAUGUUCCCGCC